RNAcentral lists this ribosomal RNA (495 nucleotides) under uncultured bacterium. RNAcentral describes it as "partial 16S ribosomal RNA". It matches the Rfam family "Bacterial small subunit ribosomal RNA", at positions 28 to 507 of the family's 1533-position model. The record is from RNAcentral.
GACGAACGCUGGCGGCGUGCCUAAUACAUGCAAGUAGAACGCUGAAGGAGGAGCUUGCUCUUCUGGAUGAGUUGCGAACGGGUGAGUAACGCGUAGGUAACCUGCCUGGUAGCGGGGGUUAACUAUUGGAAACGAUAGCUAAUACCGCAUAAGAGUAGAUGUUGCAUGACAUUUACUUAAAAGGUGCAAUUGCAUCACUACCAGAUGGACCUGCGUUGUAUUAGCUAGUUGGUGGGGUAACGGCUUACCAAGGCGACGAUACAUAGCCGACCUGAGAGGGGGAUCGGCCCCACUGGGACUGGGACACGGCCCAGACUCCUACGGGAGGCAGCAGUAGGGAAUCUUCGGCAAUGGCCGGAAGUCUGACCGAGCAACGCCGCGUGAGUGCAGAAGGUUUUCGGAUCGUAAAGCUCUGUUGUAAGAGAAGAACGAGUGUGAGAGUGGAAAGUUCACACUGUGACGGUAUCUUACCAGAAAGGGACGGCUAACUACGUG